RNAcentral lists this long non-coding RNA (3830 nucleotides) under Homo sapiens (human). RNAcentral's name for it is "non-protein coding lnc-SH3BGRL-5:6". Lineage: Eukaryota; Metazoa; Chordata; Mammalia; Primates; Hominidae. The record is from RNAcentral.
AUAGUUCCCCGCUAGAGGCACUAAUACAGCAGCUGAGCCUAGACUCUCCCGGAGCCCGAUGGUUGCUUAGCUACAGCUCUGGGAAGGAGGGGGAGGUGCUAACUGACGGCCGACGCUCUGGCAGCCGCCUUGGAACUCUGUGGUGGCAUUCGCGUCUGCGAGCUCCGGAGUGACUUUCCCUUCCUGUGAAGGCAAUCCGGCCCUUUCCGGUGGAGGACCCUUCCCCCUGGGUUGAUCUUGAGGAACUUAAGAGACGGUGUUUUGACUCGACUCCUUUCCCCUUUUUCCUCCCGGUACCAAAGCGGUUUUGUUUGCUGUUUAUACUCUACCCCGUGGAAAGGCGGCUAGCUGGCUAAAGGGUUUUAUGCCUGGGGGAGGAUGAGUCGCUAUUUGGUCGUGACUUGUUUCUGUUUAAAAUUAUUAUUAUUUACCAAAUGAAAAUGUUGUACUUACCAGUCCAAAGUGCGGGGCUUAUAUUGUUAGAAGACCACUUAAAAUGCUCCUGGAUUCUGACAAAUAUUGCAUGAGAAAUUUGCAAUCAGCCGUGAAGCAUGUUUCCCCUUCUGAAAGUUUAACACGUGCCGUAUCUACGGCUGGGAUCUAACACAUCCCAUUCCUACAGGGUAAUUUCCUAUUGUGUUUUCAAAUACUACUAAAGUACUUUAACCAAGAGUUUUCAAUAAUCUUUAUGUAUUAUUGCCUAUCUCUAUGCAAGGUAUCAAUAGUUUUCUACAGGUUCGGGACUACACUGUUUAAUAUAUAACCCCAACCCUUGGUACCGCACUGACCUUCAGUAUUUGGUUGCUGAAAUCUUCAAUGAUGAAAGGGGUUGGUAUGAUAAUUGACACAGAUUAGUAAACCGGGUCCUUUUCUUCCCUACUUUCCCGUAACAUCCUGUCCCCACCCCACUCCCUCACCUAAACCUGAUGAGACCAGAAAUGCAUUUUAAGUUGCAUGUAUUAUUUACAUUGAAAUAUUACAAUUUGAAGGUUCAUCUAAAUUUAAGGCUAUAUUCUUGGGAAUUGGGUUUCCUCACUCAGCUCUGCCACUGACCACAGUGGGCCUUGAAUUUCUAAGUUGACAUAAACUUAGCCUAGGUUGAUUAGCUCUCACUUGUAAUUUUUUUUUUUCCUCAGAAAGCAAUAACCACAGGAGGUAAUUGUGAAGUGAUAGGCUUAUCUUUGGUUGUUAUUGCCAUGGAACUUGACAAAACAAAUAUGAAUAAUUGAUACAACAAAAUGAUAUAAAAAGAUACAUGAGACCUAGACAACUCAUUGCAAGUAGUUUAGCAAAAUACCAGACUGAAUAAUUUUAUAGUUGAAGUAUAAUGUACAGGUUGAGUAUUCUUUAUCCAAAGUGCUUGGGACCAGAAAUGUUUUGGAUUUUGGACUUUUUCAGAUUUUGGAAUAUUUGCAUAUACAUAAUGAGAUAUUUCAGCUAUAGGACCCAAGUCUAAAUUUGAAUUUCAUUUGUUCCAUUUAUACCUUAUACACAUAGACUGAAGAUAAUUUUAUAUAAUAUUUUCAAUAACUUUGUGCACGAAACAAAGUCUUGACUGCCUUUUGACUGUGAUCCUCCACUUGAGGUCAGAUGUGGAAUUUUCCAUUUGUGGCAUCAUGUUGACACUCAAAAAUUUUGGAUUUUGGAGCAUUUUGAAUUUUGGAUUUUUAGAUUAGGGAUGUUUGACCUGUAUGUAACAGUUAACACUUAACAAGCCAUUAUCAUGUCCUCAGCACUUUUACGUGCUUACCUCAUUUAAUCUUUACAAUGACCCUAGGAGAUAGGUUCAAUUGUUAUUCUCAUUUUACAAAUGAUAAAAAUGACUAUGAAUUUGGUCCACUCACAGCCUGUGAACCUCAUUCCUCACCUGUAAAAUGUGAAUAAUAAAUAGUAUUUGCCAUGUCUACUUCAAGGAAUUGUUAUAAAAUUCGUGUGAAAAUGUAUUUGUGUACUCUUUCAAAAUUUAUGUGGCAGUUAUUCCAUGAUCACCUCUGUAUCAGUCAGUUCAAUUAUUAAUGAUAACAGGAAAUUGGAAUAAUGAGGGCUUAGCUAGCAAGAAGUAAAGAGAACUCUAAAUACUACAGAUGUAGCAGGUAUAUAAUAGUAGAUAUGAUAGCCACUACCCCUGGAACUGAGAUAAAGCAUUCUCUUCCCUUAGCUGAGAUCCAGACCUUCUUAGAGAGAACACAGCCAGUGGAGAGUCACUCUAUGGCAGGAAAUAUUCUGUAUUGCCUUACAGGCAGAACUUGCUGAAACUCCAACCUCUGGAAAUUACUGGAACCCUGCAUUCUAGAACUUGCUGGAAACCCACCCUCUGGAAUUGGCCUGCUAGAGUGCCUGAGAAGGAUGUUCAUAGGGAAAUGUUUCAGCAGAGGAACUCUACUACAAAAACCACAAGAGGGAGGGUGCCAGGGGAAGUGGCCUGGUGCUAUUGAAACUGCAACACAGAAGCCAGCCACUGGAGAGAGCUGCACAAGCUGCAGGAACACCCUACCCAGUAAGCCGGCCAGAAGGAGGGAGCAAAACCUUUUCUCUCUGCAACAUCUUUCCAGUUUCCUCUACUGGAAAAGCUUCAUUGCCAGCUGACAAAAGGAAAAAUACUUAAAUGGAUCAGAUCCAUUUUCACAGAGCAGUCAAUAAUGGUGAAUUUGGAGAUGAUAAGCAACAAAUUGAUGAACUGGCACAACUUCCCUGCUACUUUCUUGAUUGUAAUGCCUAGAUAGGGAAUAGGAAAGUUAUUGAAAUGUAUGUGUUCCCAUGAAAUGUGUUUAUUUGUUGUUCAAGAUCAAUACUAAUAAAUGGGGACUAAUGUUCUGAAGUAUUUUGGAACAAUUAGAAUCACCACUCUUAACCCUGUGGCCAAAGUCUUAAAUGGACAGGGAGGAAAAUGUUUAUAAACUGAAGCAAAAAUUGAUCUACAUAGAAAAUAAAUCUGGAGUAUUUACUUGGUAGGUAUACUAGUUUCCUAGGGCUGCCAUAACAAGUUAUUACAAACUGGGUGGCUUAAAACAACAGAAAUUUGUUCUCUCACAGUUCUAAAGGCCAGAAAUCCAAAAUCAAGGUGUUUGCCAAAGCCAUGCUCUAGGGGAGAAUCCUUUGCUUCUUCCAGCUUCUGGUGGCUCCUGGCAUUACUUGGUUUGUGAGAGCAUAAUUCUAAUGUCCGCUUCUACCUUCAUAUGGCCUUCUUUCAUAUGACAUGUCAAAUCUUCCUCUCCUUUUUCUUAUAAGGACACCAGUCAUUGGAUUUCAGGCUCACCCUUAAGCCGGGAUGAUCUCAUCUCCAGAACCCUAACUUAAUUACAUCCACAAAGACCCUAUUUCUAAGUAAGAUCAUAUUCACGAGUACUGGGGUUAGGACAUGGACAUCUUUUUGGAGGACACAAUUCAAUCCACCAACACAUUUUUAUUUUACUUUGGUCUUUAAAAAGAAUAAGCCGAGUUCAGUGGCUCAUGCAUGUAAUCCCAGCACUUUGGGAGGCCAAGGCGAGCAGAUCACUUGAGGCCAGGAGUUCACGACCAGCCUGGUCAACAUAGCAAAACCCUAUCUCUACUAAAAAUACCAAAAUUAGGGCCGUGCGCGGUGACUCACGCCUAUAAUCCCAGCACUUUGGGAGGCUGAGACGGGCGGAUCACGAGGUCAGGAGACCGAGAACAUCCUGGCUAACACGGUGAAACCCCGUCUCUACUAAAAAUAAAAAAAAAUUAGCCCGGCGUGGUGGCGGGCGCCUGUAGUCCCAGCUACUCAGGAGGCUGAGGCAGGAGAAUGGCAUGAACCCGGGAGGCGGAGCUUGCAGUGAGCCGAGAUCGCGCCACUGCACUCCAGCCUGGGC